CCUGUACUGACCUGGGCGUGUACUCCAGGUGAGAGUGGAUCUGGACCUAUAUGAACCUUGUUCUGGUCCGGUACUGACCUGGGCGUAUACUCCAGGUGAGAGUGGACCGGACCUAUCUGGACCUGGUUCUGGUUCUGUACUGACCUGGGCGUGUACUCCAGAGACAGGUAGACAGUACUCCAGGUGAGAGUGGAUCUGGACCUGGUUCUUGUUCUGUACUGACCUGGGUGUGUACUCCAGGUGAGAGUGGAUCUGGACCUAUCUGAACCUGGUUCUGGUCCUGUACUGACCUGGGCGUAUACUCUAGGUGAGAGUGGACCUGGUUCUGGUUCUGGUUCUGUACUGACCUGGGUGUGUACUCCAGGUUUGAGUGGACCUGGUUCUGGUUCUGGUUCUGUACUGACCUGGGCGUGUACUCCAGGUUUGAGUGGACCUGGUUCUGGUUCUGGUUCUGUACUGACCUGGGCGUGUACUCCAGGUGAGAGUGGAUCUGGACCUGGUUCUGGUUCUG
Molecule: long non-coding RNA, 511 nt
Organism: Dicentrarchus labrax (European seabass)
Lineage: Eukaryota; Metazoa; Chordata; Actinopteri; Moronidae
Exons: 3
Source: RefSeq, a predicted model, not a curated record